CUAACAGCCUGUUAGUGUCACAAUUGACUAUAUUCUAGCUAUCUGAAAUCAAUUAUCAAACUACAAAAUACCAAGGCUUACUACUUCCGUCUUAAUUCAAAACAUAAUCCAUUCUACAAAUAUCAAUUCAAUAAUACUUCCAUAUUCUUAUCGGUUCAUCUUCCACUUACUUUCUUUGCAGUUUAUAUAUAUUCAAUUACUAAUCUCCAGCUUAUCUAUUAUAUUCAGUUUCUCAAUUCAUCACACAGAAUUCAAUAUCUUCACUUAACAAAACACAAUUCGAUAAUCUCAAUUCUUAAGGUCAUAGAUUUUCUCCAAAACCGUCAGUCCAAAGUCAUAUUCCAUAAUAUUCUAAUCACAAUUUCAACAAUACUUCUCUCAAUCACAAUUCUUCAUAAGUAAAUAAUAAAAGCAAAGAAAAUAAAGAAGUGGCACCAAGCUUAUUCCGGCUUACGACUCUCACAGUCUGGCCUUGAUCUCCCUCUUCCCAACCUUUUUAUCCUACCAAAAGGUGGACCAUCAACUAGCAGAUUCCAAAGGUUAUGAACUUUUGAGUUCUUAAUCAUUUGUUCUACUAACAACUUACUGUUACUAACUAAAUUACCUAAUUAUAAGUCUAAUUUUUAAGGUUGUUAAUAACCAACCAGUAACUUACUACAAAAUUUAUUUACCUAUUCUACAUAGCCCCACUCCUAAUUGUGCAGAGCCCUCGUAAACAUUAUUUAGCUUCAACUUAUAAAGACGUAGCAGCGUUGGCUUCUUCAGUCAAUGGCGUUGGCUUACCACCCUUUGAAUUGGUGACCUCCUCCUCUACUACAUCUUCAUCGUUUACCUCAAUGUUUGAUGGUUUUCCAUCCAAAUGCAUCAUCAGAUCUUCAUUCAACAAACCCAAUUCCCAUACCUGAGACUCAAGAUGAUAAUUUGGUUGUCGUCUUCCUCUAACAUCUUCUGCCAUUCUUCUGUCAGUUUCAAAGGUAUCUCUAAAGGUGUUGUCGCUGAAAUUGGCGUAUUGACCCGCACUAAAUUAUUGGCUUCCUUCUCUAAUGCGGCUAGUUUAGUCUGCAACAUGGCAACCUCUAUCUGCAGCCGCUCUUGCCAUUCCUUCCAAUCAGUCUCCAUCCUUGCUUUUUCAAACACCAUAUUUGCCAUCUUCUCCUUUUUUGCCAUCCAGUUCUCCUUAACCACAAAAGAAAAUAUGAUGCUUAU
RNAcentral lists this long non-coding RNA (1206 nucleotides) under Physcomitrium patens. Its description in RNAcentral is "long non-coding RNA (PPAT_LNC001969)". The record is from RNAcentral. Lineage: Eukaryota; Viridiplantae; Streptophyta; Bryopsida; Funariales; Funariaceae.